GACGAACGCUGGCGGCGUGCCUAAUACAUGCAAGUAGAACGCUGAAGAGAGGAGCUUGCUCUUCUUGGAUGAGUUGCGAACGGGUGAGUAACGCGUAGGUAACCUGCCUUGUAGCGGGGGAUAACUAUUGGAAACGAUAGCUAAUACCGCAUAACAAUGGAUGACACAUGUCAUUUAUUUGAAAGGGGCAAUUGCUCCACUACAAGAUGGACCUGCGUUGUAUUAGCUAGUAGGUGAGGUAAUGGCUCACCUAGGCGACGAUACAUAGCCGACCUGAGAGGGUGGUCGGCCACACUGGGACUGAGACACGGCCCAGACUCCUACGGGAGGCAGCAGUAGGGAAUCUUCGGCAAUGGGGGCAACCCUGACCGAGCAACGCCGCGGGAGUGAAGAAGGUUUUCGGAUCGUAAAGCUCUGUUGUAAGUCAAGAACGGGUGUGAGAGUGGAAAGUUCACACUGUGACGGUAGCUUACCAGAAAGGGACGGCUAACUACGUG
This 497-nucleotide ribosomal RNA is filed under the name uncultured bacterium. RNAcentral describes it as "partial 16S ribosomal RNA". It matches the Rfam family "Bacterial small subunit ribosomal RNA", at positions 28 to 507 of the family's 1533-position model. The record is from RNAcentral.